This 301-nucleotide ribosomal RNA is filed under the name uncultured bacterium. RNAcentral describes it as "partial 16S ribosomal RNA". It matches the Rfam family "Bacterial small subunit ribosomal RNA", at positions 509 to 807 of the family's 1533-position model. The record is from RNAcentral.
CAGCCGCCGCGGGAAUACAGAGGGUGCGAGCGUUAAUCGGAUUUACUGGGCGUAAAGCGUGCGUAGGCGGCUUUUUAAGUCGGAUGUGAAAUCCCUGAGCUUAACUUAGGAAUUGCAUUCGAUACUGGGAAGCUAGAGUAUGGGAGAGGAUGGUAGAAUUCCAGGUGUAGCGGUUAAAUGCGUAGAGAUCUGGAGGAAUACCGAUGGCGAAGGCAGCCAUCUGGCCUAAUACUGACGCUGAGGUACGAAAGCAUGGGGAGCAAACAGGAUUAGAUACCCCAGUAGUCCCUGUCUCUUAUAC